CCUAGGGGAGGCUGCAGUGGGGAAUAUUGGACAAUGGGCGAAAGCCUGAUCCAGCCAUGCCGCGUGUGUGAAGAAGGCCUUCGGGUUGUAAAGCACUUUCAGUGGGGAAGAAAGCCUUGGGGCUAAUACCCUCGAGGAAGGACAUCACCCACAGAAGAAGCACCGGCUAACUCCGUGCCAGCAGCCGCGGUAAUACGGAGGGUGCGAGCGUUAAUCGGAAUUACUGGGCGUAAAGCGCGCGUAGGCGGUCUGAUAAGCCGGUUGUGAAAGCCCCGGGCUCAACCUGGGAACGGCAUCCGGAACUGUCAGGCUAGAGUGCAGGAGAGGAAGGUAGAAUUCCCGGUGUAGCGGUGAAAUGCGUAGAGAUCGGGAGGAAUACCAGUGGCGAAGGCGGCCUUCUGGACUGACACUGACGCUGAGGUGCGAAAGCGUGGGUAGCAAACAGGAUUAGAUACCCGGGUAGUC
Molecule: ribosomal RNA, 465 nt
Filed under: Vreelandella stevensii
Lineage: Bacteria; Pseudomonadati; Pseudomonadota; Gammaproteobacteria; Oceanospirillales; Halomonadaceae
Description: partial 16S ribosomal RNA
Rfam family: Bacterial small subunit ribosomal RNA
Source: RNAcentral